GAUGAAGAACGCAGCGAAAUGCGAUACGUAAUGUGAAUUGCAGAAUUCAGUGAAUCAUCGAAUCUUUGAACGCAUAUUGCGCUCUCUGGUAUUCCGGAGAGCAUGCUUGUUUGAGUAUCAGUAAACACCUCAACUCUUUUUUCUUUUUUGAAAUUGGAGCUGGACUUGAGUGAUCCCAACGCUUUCUUCCAAGAAAGUGGCGGGUUGCUUGAAAUGCAGGUGCAGCUGAACUUUUCUCUGAGCUAUAAGCAUAUCUAUUUAGUCUGCCUAAAAAACAGAUCAUUACCUUUGCUGCAGCUAACAUAAAGGAGACUAGUUCUUGUGCUGACUGAUGCAGGAUUCACAGAGACAGCUUCGGCUGACUUUGUAAACUCGAUCUCAAAUCAAGUAAGACUACCCGCUGAACUUAAGCAUAUCAAUAAGCGGAGGA
Molecule: unclassified non-coding RNA, 430 nt
Filed under: soil metagenome
Description: partial contains 5.8S ribosomal RNA, internal transcribed spacer 2, and large subunit ribosomal RNA
Rfam family: 5.8S ribosomal RNA (bases 1-120)
Source: RNAcentral